RNAcentral lists this ribosomal RNA (320 nucleotides) under uncultured Prevotella sp. RNAcentral describes it as "bacterial SSU rRNA". It matches the Rfam family "Bacterial small subunit ribosomal RNA", at positions 28 to 339 of the family's 1533-position model. Lineage: Bacteria; Pseudomonadati; Bacteroidota; Bacteroidia; Bacteroidales; Prevotellaceae. The record is from RNAcentral.
GAUGAACGCUAGCUACAGGCUUAACACAUGCAAGUCGAGGGGCAGCAUGAUCAAAGCUUGCUUUGAUUGAUGGCGACCGGCGCACGGGUGAGUAACGCGUAUCCAACCUUCCCCAUAGUAGAGAAUAGCCCGGCGAAAGUCGGAUUAAUGCCCUAUGUUGUAUUAUGAGGACAUCUGAGUAAUACCAAAGAUUUAUCGCUAUGGGAUGGGGAUGCGUCUGAUUAGGUAGUAGGCGGGGUAACGGCCCACCGGGGCAUCGAUCGGUAGGGGUUCUGAGAGGAAGGUCCCCCACACUGGUACUGAGACACGGACCAGACUCC